UAUAUUUUGCAGCUGCCCGUACCGCAAACCGACACAGGUAGUCGAGAAGAAUAUUCUAAGGUGCUCGAGAGAUUCAUGGCUAAGGAACUCGGCAAAAUAAACCUGUAACUUCGGGAGAAGGGUUGCCUCCUCUAGCAAUAGAGAGGUCGCAGAGAAAUGGCCCAGGCGACUGUUUAACAAAAACACAUGGCUAUGCGAAAUCGCAAGAUGAAGUAUAUGGCCUGACACCUGCCCGGUGCUGGAAGGUUAAGGGGGGAAGUUAGCAGCAAUGCGACGCUUUGAACUGAAGCCCCAGUAAACGGCGGCCGUAACUAUAACGGUCCUAAGGUAGCGAAAUUCCUUGUCGGGUAAGUUCCGACCUGCACGAAUGGUGUAACGAUCUGGGCGCUGUCUCAGCCAUGAGCUCGGUGAAAUUGUAGUAACGGUGAAGAUGCCGUUUACCCGUCACGGGACGGAAAGACCCCAUGAACCUUUACUAUAGCUUCACAUUUGAUAUUGGGAAGAUGAUGUGUAGGAUAGGCGGGAGGCAAUGAUCUGGUGGCGCUAGCUAUCAGGGAGUCAACGGUGAAAUACCGCCCUUUAUUUUUCCGAUAUCUAACCACCGCAAGGUGGGACAUUGUGUGGUGGGUAGUUUGACUGGGGUGGUCGCCUCCGAAAGUGUAUCGGAGGCUUUCAAAGGUAUGCUCAGUACGCUUGGUAACCGUACGUGGAGUGCAUUAGCAUAAGCAUGCUUGACUGUGAGACAGACAAGUCGAUCAGGCGCGAAAGCGGGAUAAAGUGAUCCGGUGGUUCUGCAUGGAAGGGCCAUCGCUCAAAGGAUAAAAGGUACUCUGGGAUAACAGGCUGAUCUCCCCCAAGAGCUCAUAUCGACGGGGAGGUUUGGUACCUCGAUGUCGGCUCGUCACAUCCUGGGGCUGGAGAAGGUCCCAAGGGUUGGGCUGUUCGCCCAUUAAAGUGGCACGCGAGCUGGGUUCAGAACGUCGUGAGACAGUUCGGUCCCUAUCUGUGAUGGGCGCAGGAAGUUUGAGAGGCUCUGACCUUAGUACGAGAGGACCGGGUUGGAGCAACCGCUGGUGUACCGGUUGUCAUGUCAGUGGCACUGCCGGGUAGCUAUGUUGCGACGGAAUAAGCGCUGAAAGCAUCUAAGCGCGAAAUCCACCUCGAGAUGAGACUUCCUUAUAAGGGCCGUCGUAGACUACGACGUUGAUAGGCUGCAGGUGUAAAGUCAGAAAUGGCAAAGCCGAGCAGUACUAAUUACCCUAAA
This 1264-nucleotide ribosomal RNA is filed under the name metagenome. RNAcentral describes it as "bacterial LSU rRNA". It matches the Rfam family "Bacterial large subunit ribosomal RNA", at positions 1626 to 2914 of the family's 2925-position model. The record is from RNAcentral.